AGAGCUGGAUUGGAAGAGGAGCAGCUGGAGCCCAAACUGGUGCCCAUAUAGGAUGCCAGCACUGCAGGCAGAGGUUUAACCCACUGCACCACAGUGCUGGCCCUCUUCUUCUUUUUUAAAACUAGAUAUCUGUGUUUACUUUCCAUCAACCCUAUUUCCAUUUUGCUUUAGAGACUGUGAAAGGUGGCGUAAGACCGGUAGGUGGCUGUUCCUACCCAUUCAGUGGCCUGAGCAGUGGCAACUGCAGCCCAGUCAUCAGCAGAGGACUGAAUGCCCUGGCCUUCAAUGGGCAAACUGCUGCAUAGGCACAGAGGGCCCCUGCAUGCCUUCAGACCCCUCUGCAACGUCAGGUUGAGCAGCAGUAAACUCAGGAAGUGGGGCACUGCAUUAAUCCUGAAAUUUCUCCUUGGUCAUAGUUUUCUCAGCAGCAGCCUGCUUGUCUUUUUCAGUCUCUUCAGUAGAAGUAGAGCUCAGGCAGGACCUCCCAUGGGUGUUUGUGGGAGGUGGCACCACACAUGAAGAGAGCCUCCCGGGCCAGCAGCCACCACAUCAGACUCACUGGGUAGGCUCUCUGGUAAUUGCAUGGGAUGGCAAUUUCCACAUAGCCCAGAGGACUCCAUGUUUCACAGAGCAGUGGUAAGCAAGUUCACAGAAGAUGGCUCUGUGAGGGCCUGGUGGUCAGCCCUGGCUUAGUAACCACCAGAAGAUGUGGUUCCUAGAAAGCUGCCUGGAUCUGGUUAGUGAAGGUCCCAGGCAUGAAGUGACCAGCAAUAGGAGUAGCUCCAGUGGCAGCAGCAAACUUCCGCUCAGCCGCUGUGGCCAGUGUUCCUGGGGAAUGAGACACUGACAUCAGCAGGGUUUUUAGUGGUAGCGGUGGCACCAGGUCUUCUUCAGGUUUAUAGUGUUGAUGCUGCCGUCACUCUUCUUUUCCUAAAUGCCCUUUCCAUUUGGAAGUCUGCGUUGGUGCCACCUAGGUGGGUUUCUAUGGAAGGAAUUUGAGGGCAUGCUCCUUCUUCAUUUGCAGGACAUCAAGGGCUCUGGACAUUGUGACAGCUUCCCUAACAAUAAGUCUCCAGUGCACCACCACCCACUGGAAAAAGAGCACACAGUGACUGACAAGGUGAAAGUUCUGGGAGGAUAAGACUGAAGAACUCCUAAUUACCCAACUGUCCGUUUUAGUUUAAAUGAGAAUCUCUGCAUCAUUCAAGCCUGGAAAGGAGGAGAAAAAGGAAUCAAAGGGUCGAUCAAUUAUUUGGGAAGCUCUUGUCAUGUGACCGGGCACACACAUGUCAGAGUUGUGGAGCUUGUAGACUCUCUGGACUGCAGAGGUCAUGGGCACCCUUGACCGUGGAGGUUACUAUGGCUGCAGACAUUGAGGUCACCUUCACCAUGGACAGAGGAGGUCGCAGACUGAAGAGAUCGCAACUCCUCUGACCCAGAGGGCACACUCAUUCCAGACCAAGAGUGUCCC
Long non-coding RNA from Lepus europaeus (European hare), 1471 nucleotides. RefSeq lists it as uncharacterized. The record is from RefSeq and is a predicted model, not a curated record. The transcript has 4 exons. NCBI's taxonomy places the organism in Eukaryota, Metazoa, Chordata, Mammalia, Lagomorpha, Leporidae.